CCUACGGGAGGCAGCAGUAAGGAAUAUUGGUCAAUGGAGGCAACUCUGAACCAGCCAUGCCGCGUGCAGGAAGACAGCCCUCUGGGUCGUAAACUGCUUUUAUUCGGGAAUAAACCUACUUACGUGUAAGUAGCUGAAUUACCGAAGAAU
This 150-nucleotide ribosomal RNA is filed under the name bacterium SM4.1-L.17. RNAcentral describes it as "partial 16S ribosomal RNA". It matches the Rfam family "Bacterial small subunit ribosomal RNA", at positions 338 to 486 of the family's 1533-position model. The record is from RNAcentral.